GAUGAACGCUAGCUACAGGCUUAACACAUGCAAGUCGAGGGGCAGCACGGAGAUAGCUUGCUAUCUUGGGUGGCGACCGGCGCACGGGUGAGUAACGCGUAUCCAACCUGCCCAUUACUCAGGGAUAGCCUUGCGAAAGUAAGAUUAAUACCUGAUGUUGUUAAAAACCCGCAUGAGUUUUUAACCAAAGAUUUAUUGGUAAUGGAUGGGGAUGCGUGACAUUAGGUAGUAGGUGAGGUAACGGCCCACCAUGGCGACGAUGUCUAGGGGUUCUGAGAGGAAGGUCCCCCACGCUGGAACUGAGACACGGUCCAGACUCCUACGGGAGGCAGCAGUGAGGAAUAUUGGUCAAUGGUCUGACGACUGAACCAGCCAUGCCGCGUGAAGGUGACGGCCCUAUGGGUCUUAAACUUCUUUUGUAAGGGNGCAAUAAGGUCUACGUGUAGGCUGAUGAGAGUACCUUACGAAUAAGCAUCGGCUAACUCCGUGCCAG
RNAcentral lists this ribosomal RNA (493 nucleotides) under uncultured bacterium. RNAcentral describes it as "bacterial SSU rRNA". It matches the Rfam family "Bacterial small subunit ribosomal RNA", at positions 28 to 511 of the family's 1533-position model. The record is from RNAcentral.